GCCUUUGCUGGUGUGUGGCGAUGAGGCCUGGUGGAACUGCCAUCAAUAAAUCAAGCGUGAUCAGGGCAGCACUGAGGAGUAAAGGAAUAUUUGGGAGGAUCAGAAGCUUGGUCCUGAUUUUGCCAUCAACCAGGACCUUGAUGACUUCAAGGGAGUCCCCAAACCCUGGGUUUCUGUUUUCUCAACUCUAACAUGAGGGGCUAGACGCAUCUGGUUUAGUUCGUCUCCAUGAUCCUGUGAAUUUCAGAUGUUGAAAAUCUUCAGAAAAGCCCUGAAAGAUGAAGAGUGGUCUCAAAUAGUCAAGACCCCCUGCUGGGGGGAGCGUCUAUCCUGCUCUGUGGAAGAAAUGGGCAUGCCAGAUGC
Molecule: non-coding RNA, 363 nt
Filed under: Pongo abelii (Sumatran orangutan)
Lineage: Eukaryota; Metazoa; Chordata; Mammalia; Primates; Hominidae
Source: RNAcentral